RNAcentral lists this long non-coding RNA (374 nucleotides) under Mustela putorius furo (domestic ferret). Its description in RNAcentral is "lncRNA (ENSMPUG00000028427.1)". The record is from RNAcentral. Lineage: Eukaryota; Metazoa; Chordata; Mammalia; Carnivora; Mustelidae.
CCCCAGGGAAGGUCCAGCCUGCCUCCUGGACCCAGAGCCGGCGGGCACAGGCUCAGGGAGGGUGAGGGCAGGACACAAUGCCCAUUCCCAACAGCAUCCUGAAGAGACAUGAUUCCGACAGUCUGGCACUCUUACUUACCCACACUGUUGGCUCUGAAGACCUUCUCAUUAAUGUACCAGAAAAAGAGAAAUUCGCCUUUCCCUUGAUUGAAUUUGACAUCAACCCCGUGGUAGUCUGGGUGCUUCCAAUGAGAAGGCAAUGGGGCCGCUGGGUCAUCUGCCCCCCAGCUCUGAGCACCCGGAGGGUAAAGAUGCAACCUAUGUCUCUUUGGUACCAAGAAGAAACGAUGAUUGCUAUUCACAAUAAGAACUGA